This 546-nucleotide ribosomal RNA is filed under the name Onthophagus aeruginosus. Its description in RNAcentral is "partial 16S ribosomal RNA". It matches the Rfam family "Bacterial large subunit ribosomal RNA", at positions 1851 to 2647 of the family's 2925-position model. Lineage: Eukaryota; Metazoa; Arthropoda; Insecta; Coleoptera; Scarabaeidae. The record is from RNAcentral.
AGUCUGACCUGCCCAAUGAUUAAUAUUAAAUGGCCGCGAUAUUUUGAUCGUGCAAAGGUAGCAUAAUAAUUAGUUUUUUAAUUGAGAACUGGUAUGAAAGGUCGAACGAGAAAAAGACUGUCUCAAUUUAAUUUAAAUUAGAAUUUUAUAUUUAAGUUAAAAAGCUUAAAUAAGUUUAAAAGACGAGAAGACCCUAUAGAGUUUUAUAUUAAUUAUAAAAUUUUUAAUUUUAAGAAUUUUAUUUAAAAAUUUUAUAGUUUAUAUUUGGUUGGGGUGAUUAAAAAAUUUAAUAAACUUUUUUUAUUUAUAUAAACAUUGAUAAUUGAUUAAAUGAUCCAUUUUUUAUGAUUAAAAGAUUAAAUUACCUUAGGGAUAACAGCGUAAUUUUUUUUAAGAGUUCAUAUCGAAAAAAAAGUUUGCGACCUCGAUGUUGGAUUAAAAUUUAAUUUUGGUGUAGAAGCUAAAAUAUUUAGGUCUGUUCGACCUUUAAAAUUUUACAUGAUCUGAGUUUAAACCGGUGUAAGCCAGGUUGGUUUCUAUCUUUAA